AACAAGAUCCCAAAGGUCUUCCAUUUAUUCCAGCACACCUAGGAUUUCUUUUUUGAGUGCGGCCUGUGUGUGUGUAUACGAGAGAAACAGGCAGAGCAUCAAGGGUUCGUGUGUUGCAGAGGCCGGGAGGCUGGGAGGGGGGCUUCCCAUCCCCCUGGGGCCCCUCCUCUCUCGUCAGUGUAGCCAAAGGACACAUUGACUGUGGGGUCCUCCCGUUUCCCCAGGCUAAUUACAUGCCUCUUUAUGAAAGGAAAUAGUUUCCCGGCCGAGCUGGGAAACCCAAGUCCCCGGUGCCCCCUCGUCGCGGGUAUCAUGGGAAGGACAAGAAAGGAGGCAGCUGCUCACACUUUCCUCUGCCUUCCCCGGCCUCGCCCGGGGCGCCCAACCCGGCCUGGAGACGCGGAGCGCCUCCUCCUCCACGCAGACGCCUCGGAAUCCACCUCUGGGCCGCGCUGAGAGACGCGGAUGCUGGGAGGAAACCCUGGCGAAGGAUGCGAGGAGACAGAUGGACGCAGAGAGAAGAGAUCCCACGAUCCACAGUCGCUUCGAGACCCACAGCGAGAGGGAGGAAGCCGCUGAGCGGGGAGGGAGCCGGCCGUGGAGCCCAGGGGAGGCUGACCCUGACCCUGAGCUCGGGGCUGCCUACCCGAACUUCAACGCCUGUCUUCCAAUUCUUUGUUUUAAAAAAAAUGCCACAACUGGGGAGGCUGGGACUGGGGAAACCAUGCAGAGGAGUGAGGGGUAAGCUACAUUUGUGGUCUUUUGAUGACGAUUCAGCAACCUCUUUCCUGAGGAAAAUCUGCCCACUUGUUUAUUAUCCCUCAGUCAGUCCAGAAGCUCAGUGGUGUCCGAUGCUUUGUGAUCGCAUGGACUGCAGCACACCAGGCCUCCCUGUCCAUCACCAACUCCCAAAGUUUUACUCAGACUCAUGUCCAUCAAGUCAGUGAUGCCAUCCAACCAUUUCAUCCUCUGUCGUCCCCAUCUCCUCCAAGGAAGUCCCUCAAUUAUUAUACUUCAACUGCAGUCAACGCAGAGCUGGAUAAAGAAGCAGAGGACUGGAGACUGUGAACCCCUUGAAGGCAGAUCUCUCUCUCUCCUAUUUGAAAUCUUUAUUGAGAUAAUUGCAAAUUCACACACAAAAAGCUACUAACAAUAAUACAAAGACAUUCCUUGUACACUUUUCCCAUUUUUUCCCAAAGGUAACAUUUGCAAAGCUAUAGUACAGUAU
Molecule: long non-coding RNA, 1228 nt
Organism: Bos taurus (domestic cattle)
Lineage: Eukaryota; Metazoa; Chordata; Mammalia; Artiodactyla; Bovidae
Source: Ensembl